Molecule: RNA transcript, 1494 nt
Organism: Trichosurus vulpecula (common brushtail)
Lineage: Eukaryota; Metazoa; Chordata; Mammalia; Diprotodontia; Phalangeridae
Gene: HSD17B14
Gene name: hydroxysteroid 17-beta dehydrogenase 14
Exons: 8
Source: RefSeq, a predicted model, not a curated record
CCUGGGGACCUUGUAUCCAAGGCCAAAACUGCCCUUUGCCCGAGCUAUCACGGGGUAGAAAUCACGAGUUAGGGGAGGGAAGGUCUGGGGCCACCAGCAGCUUUCGAGAGGCUCCGAAACCCUGUCCCACCCCUUACCCCACAAAUUGUAUCUCCAAAUCCACCCCUGCUUCUUUUGCCUCCUAGUGGAGAAUGGUGCUAAAGUGAUCAUCUGCGACAAGGAUGAGUCAGGUGGCCGGGCUCUGGAAAAGGAGUUGCGUUUAGUCAGGCCACCAGCAGGAGCUGUUUUCAUCCGAUGUGAUGUGACCAGAGAAGGGGAAGUGGAGCUCCACCUCUGUGAGUCUUGCCAUCUCUGCUUCAGGAUGUCUCUCUCAUAGACUGUCUCUGACUCUACGAGUCUCCUGUCUCUCUGGUCCCUGAUUUUUGGGGUCUCUCAGGCUCUGAGGCUUUGUCUCCUGGCCCCCAGGCCCUGAUCUUUGAGACUCUGCAACGUUUUGGCCGUCUAGACUGCUUGGUGAACAACGCCGGACGCCAUCCCCCAGAGGAGAUACUGGAAGAGACGUCCUCCCAGGCCUUCCGAGAGCUGCUGGAGUUGAACCUCCUUGCCACAUACACAGUAUCCAAGUUUGCCCUCCCCUUCCUCCGGCAGAGCCAGGGCAGCAUCAUUAACAUCUCCAGCCUGGUGGGGGCCAUUGGGCAGAGAAAGGCUGCAUCUUAUGUGGCCACCAAGGGGGCUGUGACUGCUCUGACCAAGGCUUUGGCCCUGGAUGAGAGUCAGUAUGGUGUCCGAGUCAACUGCAUCUCCCCAGGAAACAUCUGGACCCCGCUGUGGAAGGAGCUGGCCGCCCUGACCCCCGAUCCCUCUGCCACUAUCAGGGAAGGGGAUCAGGCGCAGCCCCUAGGACGGAUGGGCAGGCCGGACGAGGUGGGCGCUGCUGCCGUCUUCCUGGCCUUCCACGCUUCCUUCUGCACUGGCGUGGAGCUGCCCCUGAGCGGGGGCGCCGAGCUGGGUUACGGGCGCAAGGUGCCCCAGACGUGACGAAAGAACCCCCAGAAUCCCGCGCUGCGCCCGCGGGACCCCUGCGGCGGCCCCUGCCCUCCCCUCCCCCAGCUAGCCGCGUCUCCUCAAGCCCUGGACGCUCAGUCCUCCGCCCCUUCCUUCCCCUCGGCCCUUUCCGUCAGAUAAAUUGGAAACAGAAGGCGAUUAUCUUUGCAUUUCUUUGCAUUUUAUUUCCUGCCGCCCCCGCCCGCCACCUGGCCCGGGCCCUGGGGCGGGCGGGGCCUCUUGAGCAAUGCAGUCACGGGGGACGGGGGGCACCAGCUGGGGUCCGAGGCCAGGCUGGGAUUCUGCCCUGGCCUGCCUCCUCUCCGCCCCCGGGAGACCCGAGGCGGGCCUGGGGCGAGGGCCCGGGCUAACGGGCCUGUGAUGGUCUCCCGGAGGAAGAAGGAAUUAACUGCCAAUUAGGCGAGAUUAAUAAAGAAGGCUGGAGAGAAA